GAUGAAGAACGCAGCGAAAUGCGAUAAGUAAUGUGAAUUGCAGAAUUCAGUGAAUCAUCGAAUCUUUGAACGCACCUUGCGCCCUUUGGCCAUUCCGAAGGGCAUGCCUGUUUGAGUAUCAUGAACACCUCAACUCUUCAUGGUUUUCCAUGAUGAGCUUGGACUUUGGGGGUCUUGCUGGCCUGUGGGUCGGCUCCUCUCAAAUGAAUCAGCUUGCCGGUUUUUGGUGGGCAUCACAGGUGUGAUAACUAUCUACGCUUGUGGUUUUCCACCAGGGUAACCUUCAGCAGUGGAGGUUCACUGGAGCUUACAAAUGUCUCUCCUCUGUGAGGACAGCCAUUUGAAUGUUUGAUCUCAAAUCAGGUAGGACUACCCGCUGAACUUAAGCAUAUCAAUAAGCGGAGGA
This 406-nucleotide unclassified non-coding RNA is filed under the name soil metagenome. RNAcentral's name for it is "partial contains 5.8S ribosomal RNA, internal transcribed spacer 2, and large subunit ribosomal RNA". The stretch from base 1 to 121 matches the Rfam family "5.8S ribosomal RNA", at positions 35 to 154 of the family's 154-position model. The record is from RNAcentral.